Molecule: ribosomal RNA, 350 nt
Filed under: uncultured bacterium
Lineage: Bacteria
Description: bacterial SSU rRNA
Rfam family: Bacterial small subunit ribosomal RNA
Source: RNAcentral
UGGGGAAUAUUGCACAAUGGGGGAAACCCUGAUGCAGCCAUGCCGCGUGUGUGAAGAAGGCUCUAGGGUUGUAAAGCACUUUCAAUGGGGAGGAAAAGUUAGUAGUUAAUACCUGCUAGCCGUGACGUUACCCAUAGAAGAAGCACCGGCUAACUCCGUGCCAGCAGCCGCGGUAAUACGGAGGGUGCAAGCGUUAAUCGGAAUUACUGGGCGUAAAGCGCGCGUAGGCGGUUUGUUAAGUCGGAUGUGAAAUCCCAGGGCUCAACCUUGGAAUUGCACCCGAUACUGGCAAGCUAGAGUACGAUAGAGGGUGGUAGAAUUUCUUGUGUAGCGGUGAAAUGCGUAGAUAU